Molecule: long non-coding RNA, 225 nt
Filed under: Elaeis guineensis (African oil palm)
Lineage: Eukaryota; Viridiplantae; Streptophyta; Magnoliopsida; Arecales; Arecaceae
Description: long non-coding RNA (EGUI_LNC045520)
Source: RNAcentral
AGGGUCUUGAAAAAGUUAGGGGACCGAGGGAAGGCGAGAUCACUCUCUGAGUCGGCAAUGGAGCAAGGGUUGCUGCUGUGGCUGUUGGAAUCUACCCUCUGCGACUAUCAUUAUGAUUUAGUUUAUUUUUGAAAGACUGUUACUUUGUACCUAUGGUCAGUAGAAAUUUGAUUUCUAUCUCUAUGCUGGCACAGGAUAAUUACAAUUUCUAUUUCAAUAAAGACA